CCUCACACCUGAAGCACCCAUUUCUUUUGCGAGGCUCCUUAGCUCAGCAUAGCGCACUUGUCUUUGAGGCGAGCUCCUACUCCUUGUAAACCGCCUCAAGUGGACUGCAGUAGCUGAAGACAUUCCCCCACUUUUUUGUUGACACAGAUCUGCAAGCAGCAGAGUAAAUGUCCACAGAUCCCCCGAACCGCUGCUGCCCCACUGAAAAGGGCGCCGCCCAGUGUGUGUACAGCCCCGCUGGCAACGACCUCUACGUGGUGGGCCCACACAACAGCAAGGCUGGCGUGGUGCUCGUGUGCGACAUCUUCGGUUUGCUGCCCAACUCGAAACGCUUUGCUGACGUGCUAGCUGCGCACGGCUUCCUUGUUGUCAUGCCGGACUUCUUUGGACCGCUGGCAUGGCCUGAGUCAGAGUGGCCGGCCGACUUCCAAUCAACGCGCUGGCUCCAGUAUGCGGAGAAAAUCACGCAGUUCGACACCUUUGUGCCUCGCAUGGAGGCGGCGAUCGCGCUGCUGCGCCAGAUGGGGUGUGCGAAGGUUGGCGCCAUUGGCAUGUGCUGGGGUGCUGCCCUGCCGUUCAUGAUGGCGGCACAGGGCAAGAUCGACGCCGCCGCCACGGCGCACCCGUCCUUCUUCACUGCCGACAGAGUGAGGGCCGCGAAGACGCCUGUGCUGGUGCUGCCGUCGAAGGACGAACCUCCCAUGGACGAUGUCGAAGCCGCUGUCAACUCGCACCCGAUGGAGCCGCACGUGCACAAGCGCUUUGACACCCUGCACCACGGGUUCUUUGGUGCCCGCUACAACCCGGACGCGUACACGGCUGAGGAAAUGAAGGAUGUGGAGACGGCACGUCAGCUUGUGCUGGACUUCUUCAAGAAGUCACUCCAUUAGGCUGCUGGCGCGAGAACGUCGCGGUGCUCAUCAUCAGUGUGACUGCCGGCGGCACAUGCCUGCUCUACGUCCCUCAUAACUCCUCAUCGCGGGCUUCUCUGUGUGGGGCUGUGCUCUGCGCAAGCGCGAACGUGGCGGAAGACGACUUCGGUUUAUGCCGUCCUUGCGGGGGACUGCGGCGCGUAGAAGGUGACGUGCGGCUGCUACAUGUGAGCUUCACGGCUCGCCUUGGCUCAUCUUCCCUCGUGCUCACUGUCAGUGAUCUUUCCCCGACCCCACUUCACUUUCUCGAGGAUGGGAGGAGGAGGGGGGCGUUGUCGACAUUCGCGCAGGCCCCCUCCAUCCGGCCCCGUGACUCUGUCGCACUGUGCCUUCUUUCCCUUCCCCGCUGUCACCCUUCUCUCUUUCUGUAUACCUCACGCAGAGCGGCGGAGCAGUGGAACCUUCGCCGCAUGAGUAAAACCAAGCGCACUGCACACGUAUCGUCUUUUCUUCGAGCCCUCCCUGUCCAUCGUCUCAAGACGCGGCAUUGACGCAUGCGCCUAUCAAGUACAUCGCUCCUUCCCUCUCCCAUCUUUUAUCUCAGCAGCUUCUGACACUCCUCUUUUUUUUUUGCUUUCUCAUCUUUUCCCUUCACCGUCUUCUGUGCAUCUUCUUUACUCUCUCGUUUCUGUUUGUUUGCUGCUCUGUUUUUGCUUUGCAAGCAGUUCACAUCCUCUGCACCAACCGCCACCCCAACCAGCGCCACCCCUUAUGGGGGACGGGGGGCCUUCGCGUUUGUGCAUGUGUCUGCAUACGUGUCGUGGUGCGUAGGGGCACUUGCUGCGUCAACCUGUCGACCGGCAAAGAUGGCGAGCUACCUCUUGCGCGCGCGCGCACACACACCAAAACAGGCUCAGAUGGAGAGAACACGAUGAACUGAAUACCG
This 1818-nucleotide unclassified non-coding RNA is filed under the name Leishmania donovani. RNAcentral describes it as "gene:LdHU3.36.9130(CDS-product:similarity_to_endo -1-like_protein)". The record is from RNAcentral. Lineage: Eukaryota; Euglenozoa; Kinetoplastea; Trypanosomatida; Trypanosomatidae.